GAGACAGGAUUUCUGUGUAUAGUAAACUUGCUCUGUAGAUCAGGCUGGCCUUGAACUCAAAAAUCCUCCUACCUCUGCCUCCCAAGUGCUGGGAUUAAGGAUGCAAACCACCACACCCAGCUAGACAUACCUUUCUGACUUUAUGGCAGUCCCUUGGGUCCCAGUAGGGGCCUUAGCUUUGUAGAUCCCUGUGAGGCCACACAUGUCACCUGACACUUGCAGAGCGCUUCAUGCUCCACAGAGUCCUGCUCACACAGCAGCAGCUUCUGUCAACCGUCGUGCAGGGUUGCUGAUGAGGCUACUUCACUGGAGGUGUGUCCAUGGUCAUAACCAGUGGAUGGCAGACCUGCAUGGUCCCCGGUUAUGUGUGGCUCAGCAAAGGUGUGGCAUGUCCCCAGGGAAGGCCUGAGAUAGGAACACAAGGUUUUGUGCCUGAGAAAGCGGCAGUCUACGGGGUAUUGUCUCCAGACCCCCUCAGUACCCUUGGCCCUAAAGUGGGGUGGGAGGGCUGAUAGAGUGGCACCUAAGCCAGAGAAGAAGGCAGCAUGGGCACCCCUCUUCUGUUUAUGUCACCUGUCACCUUUUGCCGAGAAUCGGAAGCUUCGCCCCUUACUCCUUGCCUCCCUAGCACUAUGUGCCCAUCUCUCCCUCAGGUCCCUGUGCCACAUUUUCUUUGCCACCUGGUGCCAUUUAACAAGAGAAAUGGCAUCACAUUCCCCAGCGAAGACCUGGGAGCCUUCCAGGUGCUGGGGAAGCUUGAGGCUGUCACUAUUGCCAGCUCCCUGCCAAGCUUGGCAGGGACUCUGGAACUAGAGGCACCUCUCUGGGGUUUGGGCUGGCCUGCCCCUGCUGCACAGCAGGGCUGAGUGACACUUAAAUGGCAGUCAGGUGCCCUCAGUCCUUACUGAAGACAGCAGGGAGUGGUUGCUCCUGGCAGUGUGUCUGACUGAGGACAUGAGAACUGGGCUUGGUGCUGAGGUGGAGUAGUCGGGUGACUCAAGGACUGGUUUGAAUGGGGGAGCUAUCAGAUGCCUGCUGCCACCUGAAUCAGGACUAGGAUCCUCUGGGAGAGCUUUCUUUACAUCACAGGUUCAUUUGUCCCUAGGCUACCUGGUAUGGGCAGUUCUUAUAUCCCUCCUGGAGCUCAGUUCUCUGCAGGAGGGUGCUCACCCAAGUGUUGUCCCUGCCUAAGUGGUGGUGGAUGGUCAUUCUUGUAGAGGAAAGGAAGCUUCAGAAUGGCACCAAGGAUACUCCACCCAGCUAGAUGUGGCUCACUUAGCCAGCAAAGGUGGGAGGAACAGUGAUUUUUCAGGCCAGCCUGGGCUCCAGCUUAAGGGAGGGGGGAGCAGAUAAGGUAGUCUGUGGGGUAAAAUUGCAUUUGCUUGACUUCUAUGUAAAGCUAGAAGAGUACACACUGAAACUUGUCCUCUGGUCUCACACACAUUAUACAAUGUUAAUACAUUUUACAAGGGACGGGGAUGUGGUUCAGUUGGUAGAGUAAAGUUCAAUCCAUGGCACCACAUGCAGGCAUAAUGGCUCAAACUAGUAAUCCCAGCACUCAGGGGUGGAAGUUCAAGGUCAUCUUCAGCUACACAGUGCAUUUGAUGCCAGUCUGGGCUACAUGAGACCCUGUCCAAACCAGGGCCAGCAAGGCAAGAUGGUUCAGCUGGUAAGUGUUUGCUGCCAACCCUCAUGACCUAAAUUUCAUCUCCAGUACUCAUCCCUGCAACUUGUCCUUUGACCUCCAUAUGUGUGGCCAUGUCCCCCCAAUGUCAUUUAUAAAAAUAAAAUUAAAGCAAAACAAAACACUUCAACCCCGUAGAACAGAGGCCUGGGCUGCUUGGCCACAGAGGAAGUAGUGAGGUGAGAAGGGACCAGGCCCUGGAGUCUCACCACCAGGCCCUGUGACACAGGUCAGCACGUUAUCCUGCUUUAAGCCCCACUGCUCUGCCUCUUUGGGGUUCUCAUGGCUGAAAACAAAAGCCUGAUCCUGCACCGCCCUCCUCUCUCCUCCGCAGGGUAUGUGUGUACAGGGGAGCCAGCACAUGGCUAUGCUUGCCAGUGUGGAGGUCAGCGUCAGGUGUCUUCCUCUACCAUUCUCCAUAUUAUUUUUGAGUCAGGAUCUCUCACAGAAUCCUAAGUAAAUUUCCUUAAUACUUUAUUUUAUGUGCAUUGGUGUAAGGAUGCCAAAUCCCCUGGAACUGGAGUUACAGACAGGUGUGAGCUGCCGUGUGGGUGCUGGGAUUAGAACCCAGGUCCUCUGGAAGAGCAGCCAGUGCUCUUAACCACUUCACCAUCUCUCCAGCCCCCCCCCCCAAAAAAAAAGUAAAAUUUUAAGACAAAAGCACAUCCCUCAUCCCCUGGUGCCCUCCUUGAGUUUUUUUCUCUCCAGCCCUUCUCAUCCUUCACCUAUAGUUUGGUUCCUUCUUGGAGUUUGGGCUCCUGUUGCUGCUCGCUGCUCUGGUGUGGAGUCAGCACUUACUGGAUGGUAAAAUAGCCCUCCAUGGAAACUGCAGGAGGCCCAGAAACCAGCCACAACUUGUUCUGUGGUGCCUUGAAUGAAGCCAGGAAAUUCCCCGUCCUCAACCUCCUCACAUCCUCACUGUCCCAUGCACAACUGCCCACUGCCUCCCACCCCCACCCCCAGGCAGGACUCCACUCCUGCAGCGAGAGGCUGAAGUUCUGUGGUCUCUUGUCUUGGAGCGAAGGCCCCGUGUCCUCAUACCAAAGCCAUGCAUUAAGAAUGACAGAGCAGGGACCCUGUCAUGACAGUGCACAGGUGCCUGCACAGUGGGUAUGUAGGGAGAGGGGACCCCAAGAGUGAAGCUCUGCCUCAUGGAAGGGCGUGGCCUGCCAUUGCAGGCUCCAUUCUGAGGAGAGAGGACCAGGACCACCCUGACCACUUCUGUCUGGGGCACCUGCUGCUCAGGCCUGCAGUUUCUGCUCAUUCCUCCACCAUUCCUGCCCCUCUUCAGUGAACAGAAAACCUGACAUGGUCCUUCCUUCUGUCCCCACUGAAGGGGACUUUCCAACAGCAUCCUUGUUUCUCAGAACUAGACACAAGGGGGUUGAGGGAGGGGGCAAGGGAGCCUCUAUUUUGAGGACUGGACACUGAAAAACGGAGGUGGGGCUGAGAGGGUAGACAUGAAAUUCCCAAGCCAAUUUAUGGUGCCCGGGAAGGCCCCAGGGCACUCCAUCUUAUGACUCAUGUUUCGAAAGAACAAAAAGCUUUUGCACGUGUGGACCCAAGGCUGUGUGAGAGCAGUCUCCAGAGCAAGUGUACUGAGACUACCCGGCUACCACUUCCAACUCAGAAACUACAGUCUUGAAGGGCUGUUAAUGUGGGUGCCCUGGGCUGGUUACAGCUGAAACUAACAUUCAUGUUUGAGAACAUCCCAGGUCUCAGAGCAGAUUCACAUCCAGAUCUGGGGGGCUGGGCCUCACUGUCCCCAGGGGCUGCCUCCCACCCCCAUCACACGAGGCUUGUCCCAUCGACACAGUGGCCUUACUUCUGACCCUGUCACUGAAGCAUGAAGAACUUGGGCCAUGCUUCACAGUCAGAUGGGUGCCGACCCCGUCUAGACUUUCAUUCCUGCUGGCUCGUCCUCUGAAAGCUCCCCCCCCCC
Molecule: non-coding RNA, 3626 nt
Organism: Cricetulus griseus (Chinese hamster)
Lineage: Eukaryota; Metazoa; Chordata; Mammalia; Rodentia; Cricetidae
Source: RefSeq, a predicted model, not a curated record